GGAUUUAUUGGGUUUAAAGGGUGCGUAGGCGGUUUGAUAAGUUAGAGGUGAAAUCCCGGGGCUUAACUCCGGAACUGCCUCUAAUACUGUUAGACUAGAGAGUAGUUGCGGUAGGCGGAAUGUAUGGUGUAGCGGUGAAAUGCUUAGAGAUCAUACAGAACACCGAUUGCGAAGGCAGCUUACCAAACUAUAUCUGACGUUGAGGCACGAAAGCGUGGGGAGCAAACAGGAUUAGAUACCCUGGUAGUCCACGCAGUAAACGAUGAUAACUCGUUGUCGGCGAUACACAGUCGGUGACUAAGCGAAAGCGAUAAGUUAUCCACCUGGGGAGUACGUUCGCAAGAAUGAAACUCAAAGGAAUUGACGGGGGCCCGCACAAGCGGAGGAACAUGUGGUUUAAUUCGAUGAUACGCGAGGAACCUUACCCGGGCUUGAAAGUUAGCGACGAUUCUUGAAAGAGGAUUUCCCUUCGGGGCGCGAAACUAGGUGCUGCAUGGUUGUCGUCAGCUCGUGCCGUGAGGUGUCGGGUUAAGUCCCAUAACGAGCGCAACCCCUACCGUUAGUUGCCAUCAGGUGAAGCUGGGCACUCUGGCGGGACUGCCGGUGAUAAGCCGAGAGGAAGGUGGGGAUGACGUCAAAUCAGCACGGCCCUUACGUCCGGGGCUACACACGUGUUACAAUGGUAGGUACAGAGGGCAGCUACCCAGCGAUGGGAUGCGAAUCUCGAAAGCCUAUCUCAGUUCGGAUUGGAGGCUGAAACCCGCCUCCAUGAAGUUGGAUUCGCUAGUAAUCGCGCAUCAGCCAUGGCGC
Molecule: ribosomal RNA, 810 nt
Filed under: human gut metagenome
Description: bacterial SSU rRNA
Rfam family: Bacterial small subunit ribosomal RNA
Source: RNAcentral